This 256-nucleotide ribosomal RNA is filed under the name uncultured bacterium. RNAcentral describes it as "partial 16S ribosomal RNA". It matches the Rfam family "Bacterial small subunit ribosomal RNA", at positions 524 to 776 of the family's 1533-position model. The record is from RNAcentral.
CACGUAGGGCGCGAGCGUUGUCCGGAAUUAUUGGGCGUAAAGAGCUCGUAGGCGGCUUGUCACGUCGGGGUGUGAAAGCCCCGGGGCUUAACCCCGGGUCUGCAUUCGAUACGGGCAGGCUAGAGUGUGGUAGGGGGAGAUCGGAAUUCCUGGUGUAGCGGUGAAAUGCGCAGAUAUCAGGAGGAACACCGGUGGCGAAGGCGGAUCUCUGGGCCAUUACUGACGCUGAGGAGCGAAAGCGUGGGGAGCAAACAGG